CCUACGGUGGGCAGCAGUGGGGAAUAUUGGACAAUGGGCGAAAGCCUGAUCCAGCCAUGCCGCGUGUGUGAAGAAGGCCUUCGGGUUGUAAAGCACUUUCAGUGGGGAAGAAAGCCUUGGGGCUAAUACCCUCGAGGAAGGACAUCACCCACAGAAGAAGCACCGGCUAACUCCGUGCCAGCAGCCGCGGUAAUACGGAGGGUGCGAGCGUUAAUCGGAAUUACUGGGCGUAAAGCGCACGUAGGCGGUCUGAUAAGCCGGUUGUGAAAGCCCCGGGCUCAACCUGGGAACGGCAUCCGGAACUGUCAGGCUAGAGUGCAGGAGAGGAAGGUAGAAUUCCCGGUGUAGCGGUGAAAUGCGUAGAGAUCGGGAGGAAUACCAGUGGCGAAGGCGGCCUUCUGGACUGACACUGACGCUGAGGUGCGAAAGCGUGGGUAGCAAACAGGAUUAGAUACCCGUGUAGUC
Molecule: ribosomal RNA, 465 nt
Filed under: Vreelandella stevensii
Lineage: Bacteria; Pseudomonadati; Pseudomonadota; Gammaproteobacteria; Oceanospirillales; Halomonadaceae
Description: partial 16S ribosomal RNA
Rfam family: Bacterial small subunit ribosomal RNA
Source: RNAcentral